UAGUCUAUAUUACUGUAACACCCUCUUGAUCGUGACCCGGGCUGGUGGCUGCGUGUGUGUGUGUGUGUGUGUGUGUGGCUUUCGAUUUGCCUUUUGGGUGUUUACUGUGUGCUUGGUGGGUUUUGUUUUUGUCUGUCUUCUCUUCCAUGUCUCCUGGAGCUGGUGGGCGUGGCCUCUGGUUCACUACGGCUCUGGCACACUUGUUCUCUGUCUCAAUCAAGCACCUGUUCUGCAUUCCCUCAUCACCGCUCACUACUUAACCUUGGCCAGCUCUCCAGUCCUUCUCAGAUUGUUGUGUAACCUGAGAAAUUCGCCCUGUUCCCCCUGGAUUACCUGUCCUCCCCGCCAGCCUGCACAGUCGUCAGGAGUAAUCCCCACCUCGCACAAAGAUACACUCAAGGUAUAAAGUAGAUUUGGUAAACAGAAAUAAACUAUAUUCAGUGGA
Molecule: long non-coding RNA, 445 nt
Organism: Micropterus dolomieu (smallmouth bass)
Lineage: Eukaryota; Metazoa; Chordata; Actinopteri; Centrarchiformes; Centrarchidae
Exons: 2
Source: RefSeq, a predicted model, not a curated record